GCCGUUGGCGGCGGCGGUGGAGGACUGAUGGAGCCCACCGAAGUGGUGACGGUAGAAUUACCGUCAGAUUCAUCACCUCUACCGCUGCCGCCAAAAGUUUCCCCUAAUAGUAUUUUAGGGGAAAACAAAGAGGUCACAGUUUCGACUAAGCCCUCAAAAAUUUGAGCUUUGAUCUGACCUCUUUUCGGAAUAACUCCUCUGUUUUUUUGUUUCUGAUCGGAAGUCGGUAUUUUAGCUGCAGCCAUCGGAAAAUUAAAGAAGAAAAA
Molecule: long non-coding RNA, 266 nt
Organism: Solanum stenotomum
Lineage: Eukaryota; Viridiplantae; Streptophyta; Magnoliopsida; Solanales; Solanaceae
Exons: 2
Source: RefSeq, a predicted model, not a curated record